AUGGCCGGAGCCGGGGAAGACGACGCAGCUCCUCCUCCCCCUUCUCCAGAUCGACAGCAGCCCAUGGAAGAGGCGGCGGCGGCGGCCAAGCGGAGCCGGUCGGAGAACCACCAUGGCCUCGCCGACGGGCCGUCCUUCCGGAUGGAGGACCUUCCGGCGGAGGUUCAGCCGGUUAUAAUCUCACUGCUCCCACUGAAAGAGGCCGUGAGGACGAGCAUUGUUUCAAGAAGUUGGACAACGCUCUGGAGAUUCCACUGCGACCUAUGUUUUGAUGUGGAUUCUAACACCGAUGACAAUUCCGCUCAUCAGGUCAAUGGCACUGGCACCAAUGACCAAUCCACUAAUCGGUAUAAUACCAAAAUAACACGGGCAAAGUUCAUGGAGACUGUAAAUUCCGUUAUUCAACGGCAUAGUGGGAUAGGAAUCAAUAAGUUCAGUAUCAGCUGUGACCUGCACAAAGAGGACUCUCAUCAUCUUGACAAGUGGAUUCGGUUUGCCGCUUCAUCAAAGGCAAAAAUAAUAGAUUUUCAUCGGAAGAUAUCUGAUUACCGAGUUGAAGAAGCUCCCCACUUUCCUCUUGAGGCCUUAGAUGCUCAAGGUAGCUCAUUUGUGCAGUCCUUGUCUCUCGCCAGUGUUUCUAUAAAGCCACGCUCAGGAAUAUGCCGCUUUACAAUACUCAGAAGGCUUGUUUUGAGCUCUGUUCAGAUAUUUGGAGAUUUUCCAGGCUUGCUUGCAAAAUGUUCAAGACUUGAGGACUUAGAGAUCAAAUGGUGUUCUGGUGUGGAUGACUUAAUCGUACCACACACACUCGAUAAACUUCAACAUUUGCUGAUUGCCGGAAUGGACGUCCAGAUGGUUGAGUUUCAUGCUACUGAUCUUGCUCACUUUGAGUACAAAGGCCGAGUAACCCCUAUAGUGCUUCAUGGUUGCUUAAAACUAGAGAAGGCAACAAUUGCGUUUGAGGCCUCUAAUGUACUGCCCCAUGCAUUCAAUGUAAUUCCAAGCAUUUCCCCAGUGAAGAUAUUAAUUGUGCGAGCUUUUAUAUCAAAAUAUGGACAGUCCCUGGAGCUGCCAUUAAGACCACAGGGCAUGUUUAUGCAUCUGAGGCAUAUGACUUGUAAAAUUAUCGUCCUUGCUAGAGAUGUAAAUGACUAUAAUGGAGUUCUUCAACUGGCCCAUUGGUUGGACAGUGCACCGCGACUGGAGACAUUGGACUUGCAUAUGUCCUAUCUGAGGUCCGGUGCUUUCGUAAGUGCCGAGGUGGCGGGAGUGGAAGCUCCCUGUAUGCGUCGCCAUGAUCAUCUCAAGACGGUCUUCAUGAGUGGGUUUCAGUGUUACAAGUCUCAGAUUGAGCUGGCGUGCUGUAUCCUGGGAAAUGCUUCUGUUCUUGAGCAGCUGACAGUAGAAGCAAUAUGGGGUGAUGAUGAUUACAGGCGGAUCUGUGAAUGGGCAGAGGUAACCUCGAAGCGCUUUGGUAAGGUGAUCACUGUCUUAGAUGCCCCCCUUAACAGUGAGUAA
RNAcentral lists this ribosomal RNA (1518 nucleotides) under Triticum aestivum (bread wheat). RNAcentral describes it as "partial small subunit ribosomal RNA". Lineage: Eukaryota; Viridiplantae; Streptophyta; Magnoliopsida; Poales; Poaceae. The record is from RNAcentral.